This 127-nucleotide ribosomal RNA is filed under the name Salmonella enterica subsp. enterica serovar Schwarzengrund. RNAcentral's name for it is "partial 23S ribosomal RNA". It matches the Rfam family "Bacterial large subunit ribosomal RNA", at positions 2815 to 2925 of the family's 2925-position model. Lineage: Bacteria; Pseudomonadati; Pseudomonadota; Gammaproteobacteria; Enterobacterales; Enterobacteriaceae. The record is from RNAcentral.
UGAGACUUAGAGGAUCAUGAAGGAACGUUGAAGACGACGACGUUGAUAGGCCGGGUGUGUAAGCGAAGCGAUGCGGUGAGCUAACCGGUACUAAUGAACCGUGAGGCUUAAGCUUACAACGACGAAG